RNAcentral lists this long non-coding RNA (1975 nucleotides) under Fragaria vesca (wild strawberry). RNAcentral describes it as "long non-coding RNA (FVES_LNC004623)". The record is from RNAcentral. Lineage: Eukaryota; Viridiplantae; Streptophyta; Magnoliopsida; Rosales; Rosaceae.
AAUUUCUAUGUUACAUUUCCAGCUAUUGCAUAAUAUUUCUUGUCAGCAGAUAAACACAGCAGCAGUGCCUAAACUCUGCUAAACUGAUCAAUGUGGUACCCAGGAAAAUUCAAAUUUAUAGCUUUUUGGAGCGAAAACAGUUCUGGAGAGAGUUUGAAGGUUAUUUUUGUCAUUGCACAUUUUUUUGGUGGGGCCAUGCCGGCCACGUCAGCAAACUAACGGCACAGUUACGGAAAUUGGCCUCCGGCCUUUCCUUGGUAGCGAAAUAGAAGUUUGGGUACCACAUUGAUAAUUUUUAAAGUAUGGGUACCACUUUGACCGUGCCACAAAAGUUGGGGUACCGGCGGUGCAUUUUCCUCUGCUGAAUAUAUAUUGUCAAAAAUAGAACUCUGCAAUAUAUGUCAGUUUGAAGAAUAUUCUCAGUUGUAUAAAAAAUACUACUUCAAAAUAAAACCAGAGUCAAGCCGACACUGGUUAACACAAUUUUUUUCAUAAACUCUCAAACCUAUGGGAUGAAUUAGCUAUAAAAGGUUAUCCUGAUUUUAUAACUAAAAUUAACAAACAUGAUAAUCUAGGGUUCAGAAUAAAUUUUGUAUUAAGACUUAUCACUGAAAGAUGUGUGGAAGUUAGAGCUAAAAAACAGAUAAAAAACCAAAUUAGUAAUGAUUCCAGAGGAAGAAAAUGUUGUGACAAAAUACUUACAGAAAAUUAGAAAAUUGGUUGUAAUCCCCAACCAAGAUCUUUUAAAAAGAGAAGAUAUAAAUGGAAACCAUUUAAAAAGAAAAAAAUUUACAAAAAAGAAAAAAUAUAUUAGAAAGAAAAAACAGUCUGAGAAAACUAAAAACCAUAAAAAAUGCAAAUGUUACAUUUGUAAUGAAGAAGGGCACUAUGCUCCAGAAUGUCCUAAAAAGGGAAAAAAUACUAAAAAGAUGGUUAAAAUGUUAGAAGAAAAUAACCUCAAAAUAUUGUUCGUGAAGAAAUCUCCGACAAUGAAGAAAUUUUAUAUGAGCUAGAAACGGAAAGUGAUAGUGAGACGACCCGCCCCAAAUUUCAUCCUGAAACCCGGAGUAAGUCAUGCGGGGACCACCUCCAAGGAAAAUUUUACCGAAAAGAUUGGUAAAACCUUCCUUGAACAUGGACAACCCUAACUCGAAAAUUUCAAAUUUACACUCUUACUACAACACGUCCAAACUUCACAUAAAUAUCCAGCUAAUAAAGGCAAAUAUUAUCCUUCAGAGAUUCUGAACAUCAAACCAACAGGCCGAGCACACUACCGAAAUAAUAUACAACAAUCCCAAAGUAUCCAGAGCUACUAGACUCUAGCGGAAGCAAGAAAACACGAGUAGGUUGAACAUGUAACCUACUGAUGAAAACUGGCAGAAAUGGGGGUGACUAUGCCUCGCCUCCUACUAGAUCCAACCCGAACUCUGCAGACUGGGCAUUAUAAAACGAAGGGCCCAAGGGAAAAACAUUUAAUAACGUUAGAGUGAGUGGACAAAAAUAAAUUAAUAAGAAAAAUAUUUAUGUUUCCCCAAAUCCAUUUCUAAGGAAAAAUCGAAUGCAUGCCGCAAGCGAUAAAACUUUUAUCUCAUAAAAUAUCGAGCCUCUCAGACUCUAUAAUAUAUGUAUGUGUUUACACACGUCCAUGCUCCCUAUAUAAAUUCAUGGGUCUAUAUAGAGCUACUACGCUCGCGUCCAAUGCUCACGUCACGCCUUAAUGCGGUGCUACACUAUGCCAUUAAGGUGGACAGACGGGUGUAUAAAUAUGUGUCCAUACCCCCUAUAUGAAUUAAACACUCAUAUAGGGUUACUACGCUCACGUCACACCAUAAUGCGGUUAUAUGCUACACCAUUAAGGUGGACAGACACAUAGGGCUAGCUAGCAUUUUUAUACAUACUCUCCUCAUAAAUACAUAUUUAUAUUCACCGAAAAUCCCAUUUUCGGUAACUCUCCAAGAGAAAUAAAAUCGUNNNN